This 80-nucleotide transfer RNA is filed under the name Akkermansiaceae bacterium. RNAcentral's name for it is "tRNA-Leu". It matches the Rfam family "tRNA". Rfam says of the family: Transfer RNA (tRNA) molecules are approximately 80 nucleotides in length. Their secondary structure includes four short double-helical elements and three loops (D, anti-codon, and T loops). The record is from RNAcentral. Lineage: Bacteria; Pseudomonadati; Verrucomicrobiota; Verrucomicrobiia; Verrucomicrobiales; Akkermansiaceae.
GCCUGAGUGGUGGAAUUGGUAGACACGCUGGUCUUAGGAACCAGUGCUUCGGCGUGUGGGUUCGAGUCCCACCUUAGGUA